AGCAUGAAUUCUUGGGCAAUCCGCCCAUGUAAGCACAAAAUGGGGAAAACCAAAGGUAUUUUCAAGGCUCGACCUUGAGAGAUCCGUCCACUAUCAAGAGAAAAAGUGAAAGGAGAGGAAAGGAAGAAAGGAAGGAAAGAGAUAAAAGAAGAAAGGAGGAAGAAAAAAAAAGAGGAAAGGAAAGGUUGGCUUAGUGAACCCGAGACAAGCAAGAACCCACAAGGAUUCAAAGGACCCAAGGCAUGCAUGUAAGUAGAUUUUAGAGUCCAUGGUGAUCAUGGAGCUAAAUGAGUAAUGGAUAAGUAACUAGCUCAGGUGUAUUGCUCAGCACAUCAAGACUUACUUCAACGUAGGUAAUGGCAUCUCUUAGCCUUCCACUCCGAGUCGCUCCACUACCUAGAGGUCAUGUUGUGUCGGAUAGUUAAGCUUAUGAUGAGUAAUAGUUUGUGGAAAUGUAUUUGUCAAAACUUGAGGUUGUGUAAUGAUUACCGCAUAUUACAUUGAACAUGUUGUGGAGUUAUCAAACUUAAUUAUUUGUAUCUAAAUGUCAUGAUUCAAAUAUUGUGCUUAUUUGGUUUAAGCGAA
Long non-coding RNA from Theobroma umbraticum, 585 nucleotides. RefSeq lists it as uncharacterized. NCBI's taxonomy places the organism in Eukaryota, Viridiplantae, Streptophyta, Magnoliopsida, Malvales, Malvaceae. The record is from RefSeq and is a predicted model, not a curated record.